CGAACGGGCUUCUUCGGAAGUCAGUGGCAGACGGGUGAGUAACACGUGGGAACGUGCCUUCGGUUCGGAAUAACUCAGGGAAACUUGAGCUAAUACCGGAUACGCCCUUUUGGGGAAAGGUUGACUGCCGAAGGAUCGGCCCGCGUCUGAUUAGCUUGUUGGUGGGGUAACGGCCUACCAAGGCGACGAUCAGUAGCUGGUCUGAGAGGAUGAUCAGCCACACUGGGACUGAGACACGGCCCAG
RNAcentral lists this ribosomal RNA (244 nucleotides) under uncultured bacterium. Its description in RNAcentral is "partial 16S ribosomal RNA". It matches the Rfam family "Bacterial small subunit ribosomal RNA", at positions 63 to 334 of the family's 1533-position model. The record is from RNAcentral.